GUCCACGCCCUAAACGAUGCUCACUAGGUGUUGGGAAGCGAUUCCUUGGUACCGUAGCUAACGCGUGAAGUGAGCCGCCUGGGGAGUACGGCCGCAAGGUUAAACUCAAAGGAAUUGACGGGACCCGCACAAGCGGUGGAUGAUGUGGAUUAAUUCGAUGCAACGCGAACAACCUUACCUACCCUUGACAUGUCCGAGAGCCUGCUGAAAGGUGGGUGUGCCCGAAAGGGAAUCGUAACACAGGUGCUGCAUGGCUGUCGU
This 261-nucleotide ribosomal RNA is filed under the name uncultured bacterium. RNAcentral's name for it is "partial 16S ribosomal RNA". It matches the Rfam family "Bacterial small subunit ribosomal RNA", at positions 793 to 1055 of the family's 1533-position model. The record is from RNAcentral.